Molecule: long non-coding RNA, 497 nt
Organism: Nematostella vectensis (starlet sea anemone)
Lineage: Eukaryota; Metazoa; Cnidaria; Anthozoa; Actiniaria; Edwardsiidae
Exons: 2
Source: RefSeq, a predicted model, not a curated record
CGGUAACCUGUUAGAGGAGAGCAAUAAAAUUCACGAAUACUGAAGAUGUGUUUAGUGAGUUUAGGUUUGAUUUUAGCCUGUUUUUAAAAUUUGGUGAAAUCUCAGGCUGGACGUUCUUAUAAAAAAGGUUCUUAUAAAAAUAAGAGCGUAUGCGAUCUGAAACGUUUACUAGUGUGACAUAUCUUUCACGGUGUGUGCCCAAACCGGUGACGAGUAAAGGUAUGAAUCGACACAAGGUUGAAAAGGCGGAAAGACGCAACAUUAUACUCGACAAAGGGAAAUUAUGACGGGAAGUUCGCCUGAAUUCCUUCGAACAUUCAGACGGACAAAAAAGAACGCUGCUUGAAACCGGUGAAUGACGGGGAUGACGUAUGUUGUGGGGGUGGUCUGGUAUAGAAGAAGAAAAGAUUGCGAUCACGGUGGGCAAAAAUACGAACGAAAACUUCCACUAAGAUUUGUGGAAUAAACAGACAAUAAAGCGACAACAACAGUGAUUA